This 82-nucleotide transfer RNA is filed under the name Ixodes scapularis (black-legged tick). It matches the Rfam family "tRNA". Rfam says of the family: Transfer RNA (tRNA) molecules are approximately 80 nucleotides in length. Their secondary structure includes four short double-helical elements and three loops (D, anti-codon, and T loops). Lineage: Eukaryota; Metazoa; Arthropoda; Arachnida; Ixodida; Ixodidae. The record is from Rfam by way of RNAcentral.
GCAGUCGUGACCGAGUGGUUAAGGCGAUGGGCUAGAAAUCCAUUGGGGUCUCCCCGCACAGGUUCGAAUCCUGUUGACUGCG